Pelodiscus sinensis (Chinese soft-shelled turtle) is the source of this 624-nucleotide non-coding RNA. The record is from RefSeq and is a predicted model, not a curated record. NCBI's taxonomy places the organism in Eukaryota, Metazoa, Chordata, Testudines, Trionychidae.
GGAGAUUGCAGAGGAGGAGGAUGACAGUGACUAAACUUCUUAACUCAUUAUGUUCUUUUCUGCCUGCACUCCCCUGCCCUGGACAGUGGGAUGUACAAACCCCACACUGGGCAACAAAGAGCUUGGGGACCAGCACCCCUCCCUUAUCUAUGCUCACUGCAAUGGCCAUGGACAGGAGCUUCUCUACCUGGAUCCAAGCUGGUGUAAGAGAGGGCUGGGGUUCUUCUCUCUCCCUGGGACAGCCUGCAUCCUGGACCCCACAUCCCUGACUACAUCCCAUAACAAUGAUUUGAAUGGAGAGAAACAAAACUCUUUUUAGUUAAGGACCCAAGCAAUGCCAGAUAUUCUUCAAUAAAAAUUUCAUCUCUUUUCAUCAAAUCAAAAGCUGCCUGCUUAGAAACGUAUUCUAAAGAGGUACUGCCAGGUACAUUUUAUAGUUAUUAAUUUUGUUUUCUACUCUUCAUUAUUUAUGAUACUGUCUUAAAAGCUUGCAAAUAACAUUUCUACCCUGGCUGUUUUUUGUCUUUUUGGUAAUCAUUGAUUUCUCUCUUUUUCACCUCUGUUGUUCCUGGAACUCACACCACAUGAUUUCCACUUUAUUAAAUUCUCUGGUAUGUGGUCUGA